AGAGUUUGAUCAUGGCUCAGGAUGAACGCUGGCGGCGUGCCUAACACAUGCAAGUCGAACGGUGGUUGCAAGACUACAGUGGCGCACGGGUGAGGAACACGUAGCUAACCUGCCUUCGGGUGGGGGAUAACGUCCCGAAAGGGAAGCUAAUACCCCAUAAGCUCAGGGGAUGUAGAGACCUGUGAGAAAAGAUUAAUCGCCUGAAGAGGGGGCUGCGGCCCAUCAGGUAGUUGGUGGGGUAACGGCCUACCAAGCCAACGACGGGUCGGGGACCUGAGAGGGUGACCCCCCACACUGGGACUGAGACACGGCCCAGACUCCUACGGGAGGCAGCAGUGAGGAAUAUUGCACAAUGGGCGCAAGCCUGAUGCAGCGACGCCGCGUGAGUGAAGAAGGCCUUCGGGUCGUAAAGCUCUUUUCUGCGUGACGAGCAAGGACGGUAGCGCAGGAAUAAGUGUCGGCUAACUACGUGCCAGCAGCCGCGGUAAAACGUAGGACGCAAGCGUUAUCCGGAGUUACUGGGCGUAAAGGGCGUGUAGGCGGCUGGCUAAGUCCGUCGUGAAAGCCCCUGGCUAAACCGGGGGAGAUCGAGGGAGACUGGCUAGCUCGAGUGGAGUAGAGGGGCAUAGAAUUCCGGGUGUAGUGGUGAAAUGCGUAGAGAUCCGGAGGAAUACCAGAGGCGAAGGCGAUGCCCUGGGCUCUAACUGACGCUGAGACGCGACAGCAUGGGGAGCGAACGGGAUUAGAAACCCCGGUAGUCCAUGCCGUAAACGAUGCCAACUAGGUGUUCAGCCCCCACCGGGGGAGGAGCGCCGCAGCUAACGCGCUAAGUUGGCCGCCUGGGGAGUACGGUCGCAAGGCUAAAACUCAAAUGAAUUGACGG
This 883-nucleotide ribosomal RNA is filed under the name uncultured bacterium. Its description in RNAcentral is "bacterial SSU rRNA". It matches the Rfam family "Bacterial small subunit ribosomal RNA", at positions 8 to 916 of the family's 1533-position model. The record is from RNAcentral.